Molecule: ribosomal RNA, 706 nt
Filed under: uncultured bacterium
Lineage: Bacteria
Description: bacterial SSU rRNA
Rfam family: Bacterial small subunit ribosomal RNA
Source: RNAcentral
UGCAGUCGAGGGGCAGCAUUUUACUAGCAAUAGUGAAGAUGGCGACCGGCGCACGGGUGAGUAACACGUAUCCAACCUGCCUCAUACUCGGGGAUAGCCUUUCGAAAGAAAGAUUAAUAUCCGAUGGUAUAGUAAAACCUCCUGGUUUAACUAUUAAAGAAUUUCGGUAUGAGAUGGGGAUGCGUUCCAUUAGUUUGUUGGCGGGGUAACGGCCCACCAAGACUACGAUGGAUAGGGGUUCUGAGAGGAAGGUCCCCCACAUUGGAACUGAGACACGGUCCAAACUCCUACGGGAGGCAGCAGUGAGGAAUAUUGGUCAAUGGGCGAGAGCCUGAACCAGCCAAGUAGCGUGAGGGAUGAAGGCUCUAUGGGUCGUAAACCUCUUUUAUAUGGGAAUAAAGUUUUCCACGUGUGGAAUUUUGUAUGUACCAUAUGAAUAAGGAUCGGCUAACUCCGUGCCAGCAGCCGCGGUAAUACGGAGGAUCCGAGCGUUAUCCGGAUUUAUUGGGUUUAAAGGGAGCGUAGGUGGAUUGUUAAGUCAGUUGUGAAAGUUUACGGCUCAACCGUGAAAUUGCAGUUGAAACUGGCAGUCUUGAGUACAGUAGAGGUGGGCGGAAUUCGUGGUGUAGCGGUGAAAUGCUUAGAUAUCACGAAGAACUCCGAUUGCGAAGGCAGCUCACUAGACUGCAACUGACACUGAGGCUCG